Molecule: ribosomal RNA, 1325 nt
Filed under: Enterobacter bugandensis
Lineage: Bacteria; Pseudomonadati; Pseudomonadota; Gammaproteobacteria; Enterobacterales; Enterobacteriaceae
Description: partial 23S ribosomal RNA
Rfam family: Bacterial large subunit ribosomal RNA
Source: RNAcentral
GUAGGGCGGGACACGUGGUAUCCUGUCUGAAUAUGGGGGGACCAUCCUCCAAGGCUAAAUACUCCUGACUGACCGAUAGUGAACCAGUACCGUGAGGGAAAGGCGAAAAGAACCCCGGCGAGGGGAGUGAAAAAGAACCUGAAACCGUGUACGUACAAGCAGUGGGAGCACCUUCGUGGUGUGACUGCGUACCUUUUGUAUAAUGGGUCAGCGACUUAUAUUCUGUAGCAAGGUUAACCGUAUAGGGGAGCCGCAGGGAAACCGAGUCUUAACUGGGCGUUAAGUUGCAGGGUAUAGACCCGAAACCCGGUGAUCUAGCCAUGGGCAGGUUGAAGGUUGGGUAACACUAACUGGAGGACCGAACCGACUAAUGUUGAAAAAUUAGCGGAUGACCUGUGGCUGGGGGUGAAAGGCCAAUCAAACCGGGAGAUAGCUGGUUCUCCCCGAAAGCUAUUUAGGUAGCGCCUCGUGAACUCAUCUUCGGGGGUAGAGCACUGUUUCGGCUAGGGGGCCAUCCCGGCUUACCAACCCGAUGCAAACUACGAAUACCGAAGAAUGUUAUCACGGGAGACACACGGCGGGUGCUAACGUCCGUCGUGAAGAGGGAAACAACCCAGACCGCCAGCUAAGGUCCCAAAGUCAUGGUUAAGUGGGAAACGAUGUGGGAAGGCACAGACAGCCAGGAUGUUGGCUUAGAAGCAGCCAUCAUUUAAAGAAAGCGUAAUAGCUCACUGGUCGAGUCGGCCUGCGCGGAAGAUGUAACGGGGCUAAACCAUGCACCGAAGCUGCGGCAGCGACACUAUGUGUUGUUGGGUAGGGGAGCGUUCUGUAAGCCGUUGAAGGUGUGCUGUGAGGCAUGCUGGAGGUAUCAGAAGUGCGAAUGCUGACAUAAGUAACGAUAAAGCGGGUGAAAAGCCCGCUCGCCGGAAGACCAAGGGUUCCUGUCCAACGUUAAUCGGGGCAGGGUGAGUCGACCCCUAAGGCGAGGCCGAAAGGCGUAGUCGAUGGGAAACAGGUUAAUAUUCCUGUACUUGGUGUUACUGCGAAGGGGGGACGGAGAAGGCUAUGUCAGCCGGGCGACGGUUGUCCCGGUUUAAGCGUGUAGGUGUGUGUUCCAGGCAAAUCCGGUUCACUUUAACACUGAGGCGUGAUGACGAGGCACUACGGUGCUGAAGUGAUAAAUGCCCUGCUUCCAGGAAAAGCCUCUAAGCAUCAGGUAACACGAAAUCGUACCCCAAACCGACACAGGUGGUCAGGUAGAGAAUACCAAGGCGCUUGAGAGAACUCGGGUGAAGGAACUAGGCAAAAUGGUGCCGUAACUUCGG